GUGCCAGACUCCUACGGGAGGCAGCAGUGGGGAAUAUUGCACAAUGGGGGAAACCCUGAUGCAGCGACGCCGCGUGAGUGAAGAAGUAUUUCGGUAUGUAAAGCUCUAUCAGCAGGGAAGAUAAUGACGGUACCUGAGUAAGAAGCCCCGGCUAACUACGUGCCAGCAGCCGCGGUAAUACGUAGGGGGCAAGCGUUAUCCGGAUUUACUGGGUGUAAAGGGAGCGUAGACGGCAUGGCAAGUCUGAAGUGAAAGCCCGGGGCUCAACCGCGGGACUGCUUUGGAAACUGGCUGUCUUGAGAUGUCGAGAGGUAUGCGGAAUGCGCAGUGUAGCGGUGAAAUGCUUAGAUAUUGCGCAGAACUCCGAUUGCGAAGGCAGCAUACCGGCGGCGAUCUGACGCUGAGGCACGAAAGCGUGGGUAUCGAACAGGAUUAGAUACCCUUGUA
RNAcentral lists this ribosomal RNA (447 nucleotides) under uncultured bacterium. RNAcentral's name for it is "bacterial SSU rRNA". It matches the Rfam family "Bacterial small subunit ribosomal RNA", at positions 328 to 792 of the family's 1533-position model. The record is from RNAcentral.